UGAGACACGGCCCAGACUCCUACGGGAGGCAGCAGUGGGGAAUUUUGGACAAUGGGGGCAACCCUGAUCCAGCAAUGCCGCGUGAGUGAAGAAGGCCUUCGGGUUGUAAAGCUCUUUUGUCAGGGAAGAAACACCGGCUCUAACACAGUCCGGGAAUGACGGUAC
This 165-nucleotide ribosomal RNA is filed under the name Polynucleobacter sp. Fw70-36. RNAcentral's name for it is "partial 16S rRNA". It matches the Rfam family "Bacterial small subunit ribosomal RNA", at positions 320 to 478 of the family's 1533-position model. Lineage: Bacteria; Pseudomonadati; Pseudomonadota; Betaproteobacteria; Burkholderiales; Burkholderiaceae. The record is from RNAcentral.